UACGGGGGGGGCAAGCGUUGUUCGGAAUUACUGGGCGUAAAGGGCUCGUAGGCGGCCAACUAAGUCAGACGUGAAAUCCCUCGGCUUAACCGGGGAACUGCGUCUGAUACUGGAUGGCUCGAGAUUGGGAGAGGGAUGCGGAAUUCCAGGUGUAGCGGUGAAAUGCGUAGAUAUCUGGAGGAACACCGGCGGCGAAGGCGGCUGCCUGGACCAGUCCUGACGCUGAGGCGCGAAAGCUAGGGGAGCAAACAGG
This 253-nucleotide ribosomal RNA is filed under the name uncultured bacterium. Its description in RNAcentral is "partial 16S ribosomal RNA". It matches the Rfam family "Bacterial small subunit ribosomal RNA", at positions 524 to 776 of the family's 1533-position model. The record is from RNAcentral.